Molecule: long non-coding RNA, 3299 nt
Filed under: Homo sapiens (human)
Lineage: Eukaryota; Metazoa; Chordata; Mammalia; Primates; Hominidae
Source: RNAcentral
GUUCAGAGUGAAAGCAACUGAGAUGUCCUACGUCUAAGACAUGUCAUCACGUGGCAUAAACGACCUUAGAGGAACUCUAUGAGUGUGAUCUGGAACUCCUUGGGGAAGUUCCUUGGGGGAAAGACACUAUGUACAUUGAACACACAAAGCAUAAAGAUGUCACCUGUGUGGCUGCAUGGACAUUCCGCCUAGGGUUUACUGAUGUUCUAAGAAGCAUUUUAAAAUGUUUGUUAACAGCAUGCAGUGUAUGGGAUGUUUAAUGGGCACCCUGCCUUUGAGACAGUGACUAUUUGACCUAUGUCUUGCUGCCUCAUCUGUAGCAAGGCAGAAUGGAAAUUGUGGAAGCUUUAUGGCACUGCUGAGAACGGAGCCCCAGUGCACACCAAUGGGAAGCCUUACCUUGUUCCAGCAGCCUUGGACUGGUCAGAACCUCAGAAGGAGGUGGAAACAAAUCCGGCUAUUUUACCAUUGGUUAAAGGUCACAUGCAGCUAUAGUGCAACGUCAAUAGGGGCUGUCCUAGCCCGUGGGACCAGCAAGCAGAGAUGUCCUUCCGUGCCACGAAGAAACAGUCUCUGCUGUGGCCCUAUGGAGUGCCGGCUGCUCACGGCUGUAAAUAGAAUCCAGCAUUUGUAUUGUCACCAGAGAGCACAGCUGUAUUGGUGAAGAGCCUUUACACAGAGGACACCCAUGACCCAGGGCACGGGCAGCUCUCGAGGCCCACCUACCAGUCCUGACUCAUCACCUCCAGCUCAGAUCAUCAUCUGCCCCAGCCCUGUUGGGUCAACCCUAAUCUGCAGCCCAGUACCUGCUUUCUGGAGGGGAGAAAUCAAAUCCUUGCUUCCAGGCUGCCAUCCCCAGCCCCCCCGUCCAGUGCCCAAGGAAAGCCAGGAGGAGCAAAACUUACCAUCAAGGCCAGCGUCCGGAUCUCCUAAAAAACCAACACCAGGCAAUCAGUUGAAGAGCAAACCAAGAGCCAAGUGGAAGGUUCUCACUGCACAGUCAUGGAAACAUGGGAGCUAGGCCCCUCAAAGGAGCGUGGGUGGAGGGAGACGCUUGCAGGUGGGCUCCAUGGCCCCCAGACUCACACCACCCCCACCCCACCUCUCGCUGAGGUUUGUAAUCACUGGAGAGAGAAUACGUAGCAUCUCCUAAGCAUGAUUAUACUCUGAGGCCGUCCUACAAUGGACUCAGGCACACCCUAAAUGGACUGCAACCUUUACUUCACUUUACUGAAGGGAAGGAAGCACCACCUCUUAUUCUUUCUAGUCACCUUCUGAGGACCCUCCCUUGUUCUUUCCUCUUCUCCCAGAACCCAGAUUUCAAAGUUGCCACGCACCUCCCUUUAAACAGACACAAUAUAGCAAAAUAUGGAACCACUCAAAAAAUAGAUCAGGGAGAUGAUUGUUGGCUUUAAAAGAGGAUUUUACACCUUGUAAAUGGAGUCACAUACGGACACAGACUCCUUUGAAGAAGUGGUUCUUGAGCAGGGGCAAUUUCUUCCCCCAAGGGAUAACUGGUCAUGUCUGGAGACAUAGUUUGGUUGUCACAGCUGAGGCUCGGGUGCUACUGGCAUCUAGCAGGUAGAGACUGGGGACGCUGCUGCACAUCCUACAACACACAGGACCGACUCUCCCCCCACCACAAAGAUUCUCUAGCCCCAAAAGUCAGUGCCAAGGCUGGGAAACCCUGCUUUAAAGGGUGGGGAGCGGGAGCUCAUGAACUUGAAACAGGGUUAAACUGACACGAAAGGAGAUGCGUUCCAGGAAGAUUUGCUGCUGCAUGAAAGGGGGUUAUACAUGCAUUAAAGAAAUGGGGCCCCAGCACCCUGCAUGGGCCGUAACUUGUGGGGUGCCAGGAUAAUUCCACUAUGGCACUCAGGGGCCCUGAGGCAGGAUAACUGGCCAGCUGGGCCCAGACAGAGAGCCCCGGCCACCUGGAUGCCAGUAAUGGGGCCAUUUCCCAGGAGGCUACACAGCGGGAGGUCAAAGGAGAGAAAGCGAGGAAGCAGCUCUCCUGGAAGCGCUGCCUGAGGGCCUGAGGGCAGGGCCCCUACUCGGCUGUGUGGAAGGGCCCCCUGAUCAGGGCAUGGUGCAGAGCCUGAGAUCCAUGAGGAUCUUGGCCUCUGGGCUGGACCCUGCUCACCUGGAGAGCCUCAUUGAUGUUUCCAUUGUAAUCCACCAUCUCUCCUUUCCCUGGUUCUCCCUUGGAGCCCUGGAAGGCAAAUGAGAUCUCAACCCACGGCCUGGACCGGGAGGGCCGGGAGGGCAACUGUGGCCUGCUCUCUAUCAGCCCACACUGGCUGCACCUAGCUGCACAUGGGUGGACCCAGAACAGCCAGCGGGGCCCUGGGGAUUCUGAACACUCUCAGAGGAUGCUCGGGGAUUGCAGAACAAAUCGAGAAGACUCCAUGUGAGAAGUCUGGGCUAGGCCGACCUGGGAAGAUUGGGUCCACCUGUGCUGCCAGUCAGACCUCCCACCUGAGGGCCAGAAUGCUCUUCCCCUCCUGCCUCGUCAAGACCCCAAGGUCAAGCCUGUGAAAGGGACAUAAAAACUUGGGACCCCAGUUCACUCUGCCAAAAGAAAAAAAGUUCAGCUGAAAGCUGAGUCAUGCAAGAAGCUGCCUUUCCUUUUGUUCCUAAUCAGACAGCUACAGAUAAAAGGUUAAAUAUCCCCACAGGUAGCUGCUCCAUGUUCACCACAGCUUACAUAAAGUGCCGAUUUACUGAGCGUGAGACUAAUACAUAAUCAACUAUUCCGCUACUUGCUCCUUUUCCCUUGCAGUGUGUGGAUUACCAUACCCUUCCUCUUUCCCCUCCAGCCUGCUUUUCCCCUUUAAAUAUUGAAGCCCUCAAAAUCAUCUUUGGCAAAAGGCACAGACCUGUCUCUUGGGCACGUGCCCUUAACCUUGGCAAAAUAAACUUCUAAAUAUUAAUUGAGACCUGUCUCAGAUGCUUUUUUGAUUUACCAGCCGCUUCACGCUGUGACUCCAGGAGGGAGAGGCACAUACCUUGGGGCCAUCUGGUCCCUGUUCUCCAGCUGCUCCACGCUCCCCCUGUUGCAUGACAAAAUUGGAGCAAAGUGGGGAUAAAGUUGGUACAGAGAGCCUGAUGUCCCUAGAUGGGCCAUGUGAUAAGGGCCAGGAGGCUCAUCUUAGCUCUUAGUCCAUAGAAGUGCAGGUUCCACCCCUUCAGGAAACAUCCAGGGAACACCCACCCACACUCCUGUCCCUCUGAGUCCCUCUGGGCUGCCUCCCACUUCAGACUCGGUGGCGUUCUUUCUGUUCUGUGUUCAUUGUUAG